UACGUAGGGGGCAAGCGUUGUCCGGAAUCAUUGGGCGUAAAGCGCGCGUAGGCGGCCCUGUAAGUCCGCUGUAAAAGUCAAAGGCUCAACCUUUGAAAGCCGGUGGAUACUGCAGGGCUAGAGUCCGGAAGAGGCGAGUGGAAUUCCUGGUGUAGCGGUGGAAUGCGCAGAUAUCAGGAGGAACACCAAUAGCGAAGGCAGCUCGCUGGGACGUUACUGACACUGAGGCGCGAAAGCGUGGGGAGCGAACAGG
RNAcentral lists this ribosomal RNA (253 nucleotides) under uncultured bacterium. RNAcentral's name for it is "partial 16S ribosomal RNA". It matches the Rfam family "Bacterial small subunit ribosomal RNA", at positions 524 to 776 of the family's 1533-position model. The record is from RNAcentral.